AUUCCUUUACAGCUCCUUCAGGCUUCCAGAGAAGACCCUGCAGCUUCCUGACAUGGACUCAGGCAGUGGCUGAGUAUAGCCAGGGUAUCGGGACAGGGCCCAGCCAGCUCCUUGGCUUGGGGACCCUAGGACCCCACAGAACGCUCUGAAGCUCUCCUCCUUCAUCUUCCUCCUACUUUUCCUCUUCCCCCAGGAUUAAGUGGAUGAUGAUGAUCAUGACAAUGAUGACUUUGACACUGGCCAUGUAAGCCAAAAUUCCUGACAGUGAAAUGGAUAAUGAACUGAUACAGACACUGGGAAUUGCAGAGCUCCUUGAUUCAGAUGAUGAAGGAAAAAUCAAU
Molecule: long non-coding RNA, 341 nt
Organism: Cavia porcellus (domestic guinea pig)
Lineage: Eukaryota; Metazoa; Chordata; Mammalia; Rodentia; Caviidae
Exons: 2
Source: RefSeq, a predicted model, not a curated record